UGAGGAAUAUUGGUCAAUGGCCGAGAGGCUGAACCAGCCAAGUCGCGUGAGGGAUGACGGCCCUACGGGUUGUAAACCUCUUUUGUCGGGGAGCAAAGAGAGUCACGUGUGGCUCAUUGAGAGUACCCGAAGAAAAAGCAUCGGCUAACUCCGUG
This 155-nucleotide ribosomal RNA is filed under the name uncultured bacterium. Its description in RNAcentral is "partial 16S ribosomal RNA". It matches the Rfam family "Bacterial small subunit ribosomal RNA", at positions 355 to 507 of the family's 1533-position model. The record is from RNAcentral.